This 798-nucleotide ribosomal RNA is filed under the name uncultured Glomeromycotina. RNAcentral describes it as "SSU rRNA". It matches the Rfam family "Eukaryotic small subunit ribosomal RNA", at positions 314 to 1114 of the family's 1831-position model. Lineage: Eukaryota; Fungi; Glomeromycota. The record is from RNAcentral.
AUCAACUUUCGAUGGUAGGAUAGAGGCCUACCAUGGUGGUAACGGGUAACGGGGUGUUAGGGCACGACACCGGAGAGGGAGCCUGAGAAACGGCUACCACAUCCAAGGAUGGCAGCAGGCGCGCAAAUUACCCAAUCCCGACACGGGGAGGUAGUGACAAUAAAUAACAAUACGGGGUUCUUUCGGAUUUCGUAAUUGGAAUGAGUACAAUUUAAAUCUCUUAACGAGGAACAAUUGGAGGGCAAGUCUGGUGCCAGCAGCCGCGGUAAUUCCAGCUCCAAUAGCGUAUAUUAAAGUUGCUGCAGUUAAAAAGCUCGUAGUUGAAUUUCGGGAUCGAUAUAUCGGUCGUGCCUCGGUACGUACUGGUAUUUUCGGUUUCUCCCUUCUGACGAACCUUGAUGUCAUUAAUUUGGUGUCUUGGGGAAUCAGGACUGUUACUUUGAAAAAAUUAGAGUGUUUAAAGCAGGCUCACGCUUGAAUACAUUAGCAUGGAAUAAUGAAAUAGGACGUUUGAUUCUAUUUUGUUGGUUUCUAGGAUCGACGUAAUGAUUAAUAGGGAUAGUUGGGGGCAUUAGUAUUCAAUUGUCAGAGGUGAAAUUCUUGGAUUUAUUGAAGACUAACUACUGCGAAAGCAUUUGCCAAGGAUGUUUUCAUUAAUCAAGAACGAAAGUUAGGGGAUCGAAGACGAUCAGAUACCGUCGUAGUCUUAACCAUAAACUAUGCCGACUAGGGAUCGGAUGAUGUUAAUUUUUUAAUGACUCAUUCGGCGCCUUACGGGAAACCAAAGUGUUUGGGUUC